CUACCAUGGCAAUCACGGGUAACGGAGAAUUGGGGUUCGAUUCCGGAGAAGGAGCCUGAGAAACGGCUACUACGAAUACGUUAGGCAGCAGGCGCGUAAAUUACCCAAUCGAAACACUCGGAGGUAGUUACGAGACGUAGUAUACCAGAGACUUACAUCUCUAGUUUUACAAUGGAUUUUAAACCAAACCACUUAAUGAGGUCUAGUGGAGGGCAAGUCUGGUGCCAGCAGCCGCGGUAAUUCCAGCUCCACUGGGAUAUCUUAAUGUUGUUGCAGUUAAAAAGCUCGUAGUCGAAUUUCUGGCCGGGAGAAGCCGACAUCACCGUGCUUAUCCUAGGUCAUCCGCCUUUGAGGUUAUAAGGGCAUUAAUGUUGUCCUGUAGCGGAUUGGGCAUUUUACUUUGAAAAAAUUAGAGUGUUUCAGGCAGGCCUCCGCUUGAAUACAUCAGCAUGGAAUAAUGGAAUAGGACACUUCUCAUUUCUUGGUUCGUGAGAUUUGUAAUGAUUAAUAGGGACAGUUGGGGGCAUUUGUACUGGGUUGUCAGAGGUGAAAUUCUUCGAUUAACCCAAGACAAACUAAUGCGAAGGCAUCUGCCAAGGAUGUUUUCAUUGAUCAA
Molecule: ribosomal RNA, 616 nt
Filed under: Ciliophora sp.
Lineage: Eukaryota; Ciliophora
Description: SSU rRNA
Rfam family: Eukaryotic small subunit ribosomal RNA
Source: RNAcentral